Bombyx mori (domestic silkworm) is the source of this 85-nucleotide non-coding RNA. The record is from Rfam. Lineage: Eukaryota; Metazoa; Arthropoda; Insecta; Lepidoptera; Bombycidae.
UUAACUCAAAUUUGUAUGGAGUUGGAAAAGCUUCCCUUGGUUUGCCGCUAGGGGCGCUGUUCCAACUCCAUACAGAUUUGAGUUA